RNAcentral lists this ribosomal RNA (401 nucleotides) under uncultured bacterium. RNAcentral's name for it is "bacterial SSU rRNA". It matches the Rfam family "Bacterial small subunit ribosomal RNA", at positions 357 to 775 of the family's 1533-position model. The record is from RNAcentral.
GGGAAUAUUGCGCAAUGGAGGAAACUCUGACGCAGUGACGCCGCGUAUAGGAAGAAGGUUUUCGGAUUGUAAACUAUUGUCGUGAGGGAAGAAAUUGACAGUACCUCAGGAGGAAGCUCCGGCUAACUAUGUGCCAGCAGCCGCGGUAAUACAUAGGGAGCAAGCGUUAUCCGGAUUUACUGGGUGUAAAGGGAGCGUAGGCGGCUGUGUAAGCCAGAAGUGAAAGCCCGAGGCUCAACCACGGGACUGCUUUUGGAACUACAUGGCUUGAUUGCAGGAGAGGCAAGUGGAAUUCCUAGUGUAGCGGUGAAAUGCGUAGAUAUUAGGAGGAACACCAGUGGCGAAGGCGGCUUGCUGGACUGUAAAUGACGCUGAGGCUCGAAAGCGUGGGGAGCAAACAG